UGGGUCCUCAGCCCAACGGCCCAAAAGGAAGUGAAACCUGCCAACAGCCACCGGAUGAGUUUGGAAGUAUAUCUUGUCCCAGUUGAACCUUGUGUUGACUGUAGCCCAACUGGAGUAAUUUUCAAUGCAGCAAUAGAUAAAGAAUAUACCAGAAUGGAGCUACCACAUGGUCAGGAGGAAGAGACUCACAAAGAAAGAUGAAGGUUGCAGAGAGGUGCUAUGGAAAUAGCACAUGCUAAAGGAGUCUUCUAAGCAGCCCAGAGGCGAUGACAUACCAGUGCCAGCAGAGGAGGAGAACCACGCUUCAGUAUAACAAAAACUUCAAUGAAUCAUGCUCAAUGUGGAAAAGUCGAAUAGACAUGGCUGAGGAUAAAAGAAAAGAACGUACACAUAAUCUCACUACCCAGAGAGAAGCAAUGUUGACAUAUUUCUCUUCCUCAAUGCAUAUUUAUAUAUUGUUGAUAUUUUUA
RNAcentral lists this long non-coding RNA (470 nucleotides) under Homo sapiens (human). RNAcentral describes it as "non-protein coding lnc-KLHL25-9:3". The record is from RNAcentral. Lineage: Eukaryota; Metazoa; Chordata; Mammalia; Primates; Hominidae.